This 435-nucleotide ribosomal RNA is filed under the name Escherichia coli. RNAcentral describes it as "partial 23S ribosomal RNA". It matches the Rfam family "Bacterial large subunit ribosomal RNA", at positions 418 to 856 of the family's 2925-position model. Lineage: Bacteria; Pseudomonadati; Pseudomonadota; Gammaproteobacteria; Enterobacterales; Enterobacteriaceae. The record is from RNAcentral.
CGGGACACGUGGUAUCCUGUCUGAAUAUGGGGGGACCAUCCUCCAAGGCUAAAUACUCCUGACUGACCGAUAGUGAACCAGUACCGUGAGGGAAAGGCGAAAAGAACCCCGGCGAGGGGAGUGAAAAAGAACCUGAAACCGUGUACGUACAAGCAGUGGGAGCCUCUUUAUGGGGUGACUGCGUACCUUUUGUAUAAUGGGUCAGCGACUUAUAUUCUGUAGCAAGGUUAACCGAAUAGGGGAGCCGAAGGGAAACCGAGUCUUAACUGGGCGUUAAGUUGCAGGGUAUAGACCCGAAACCCGGUGAUCUAGCCAUGGGCAGGUUGAAGGUUGGGUAACACUAACUGGAGGACCGAACCGACUAAUGUUGAAAAAUUAGCGGAUGACUUGUGGCUGGGGGUGAAAGGCCAAUCAAACCGGGAGAUAGCUGGUUCU